RNAcentral lists this transfer RNA (73 nucleotides) under Actinomycetes bacterium. Its description in RNAcentral is "Actinobacteria bacterium tRNA-Met". It matches the Rfam family "tRNA". Rfam says of the family: Transfer RNA (tRNA) molecules are approximately 80 nucleotides in length. Their secondary structure includes four short double-helical elements and three loops (D, anti-codon, and T loops). The record is from RNAcentral. Lineage: Bacteria; Bacillati; Actinomycetota; Actinomycetes.
GGGCCCGUAGCUCAGCUGGUCAGAGCAGCGGACUCAUAAUCCGUUGGUCCCUGGUUCGAAUCCAGGCGGCCCG